AUUCAAUGGGUGGCUCGGUGGCCAUAGGGAGAGCUCAGGAGAGGAUGAUGGGAGUGCAGAGGCAAGGACGAGAAUGUAGCAUGUAUUUUAUUAAUCAUAUGUCUUAGUAGAGAACAAGAAAAACUAUAAGCAAGUAAAGUGGGGUAUAUAGCAGGAUAGAUGGAUAUGUAGGAGUGUAGGCAAUCUUUUCACCCCUGCCUCUCCAUCCUGUUCGUUAUUUGAGACUGAAGGCAAUCUUUCCACCCCUGCCUCUCCAUCCUGUUCAUUAUUUGAGACUGAAGGCAAUCUUUCCACCCCUGCCUCUCCAUCCUGUUCAUUAUUUGAGACUGAAGGCAAUCUUUCCACCCCUGCCUCUCCGUCCUGUUCAUUAUUUGAGAUUGGGCAAUCUUUCCACCCCUGCCUCUCAUUUCUAUUCACCAUCUCUGUUUUUUUUAAUGAUUUAAUGUUGUAAACUUUACUCUUAAGGACUGAUGAAUAGGAUUCUUUGCAACACCCAUAAAAAUGUGUGUUUACCUGACCAUGCACAUCAUACUGAUUAGUAUACCCAUUAGGCUGAAGAAACUACUCCUGAGGUCAUUAUCAUUUGUGCUUUACCAUUUUUCUCAUUUUUUACCAUUAUCUUCAUUAUCAUUUGUGCUUUACCAUUUUUCUCAUUUUUUUUUCAUGAGGUUGGACAUUCAGUGACUGUCCUCUACCUGUCUCCAUCAAUGCUUCCUGCUAAGGGCCAGUUCCACUUUGUAAACACCUGAACCAAACACUGAAAACAAGGAAUAUUUUUUGCUUAAUGUUUAAGUACAGAUAGGAAAUUUGAGGAAGCUAUACAGGGAAUCUCUUUAGUAUUGGGUGCUGUGUACAAACCCUGACCUUUAUCAAGAGUUGGUUUGGUGCUUCCAGUGACACUACUGGUGUCUGGGCAUUGCCCUAAGAGUACCUCAGCCCUAAGAGUGGCUCAGCCCCAGAGUGGGUUGGCCUAAAAAUGGUUCAGCCCUAAGAGUGCUUCAGCCCUAAGAGUGCUUCAGCCCUAAGAGUUCCUCAGCCCUAAGAAUGCUUCAGCCCUAAGAAUUCCUCAUCCGUAAGAGUUCCUCAGCCCUAAGAGUGCAUUGGCCUAAGAAUGGCUCAGCCCGAAGAGUGGGUUGCCCUAAGAAUGGCUCAGCCCGAAGAGUAGGUUGGCCCUAAGAAUGGCUCAGCCCUAAGAGUGGGUUGGCCCUAAGAAUGGCUCAGCCCUAAGAGUGGGUUGGCCCUAAGAAUGGCUCAGCCCUAAGAGUGGGUUGGCCCUAAGAAUGGCUCAGCCCUAAGAGUGGGUUGGCCCUAAGAAUGGCUCAGCCCUAAGAUUGAGUUGGCCUAAGAAUAGCUCAACCCUAAGAGUGGGUCGACCCCCAAAAUGGCUCAACCCUUAGUGGCUCAGUCUCCCUCAGGUGUGAAAAUUAACUGAUAACAAAGUAUAAAAUGUUUAUCAAUCUUUAUUUUGAAUGCAGUGGAUUUUUUUUGCCGCCUAGUUUUCCACAGCACUAGGACUUCCUGCUAUGAGUACUGUUUGGAGUAGUGCGUAUAGACUGGUGAACCCCCCCACUAAGGUGCUUGAC
Eriocheir sinensis (Chinese mitten crab) is the source of this 1583-nucleotide long non-coding RNA. RefSeq lists it as uncharacterized. The transcript has 3 exons. Lineage: Eukaryota; Metazoa; Arthropoda; Malacostraca; Decapoda; Varunidae. The record is from RefSeq and is a predicted model, not a curated record.